UCCUUCGAUGGAGAUGGAAUCAUAAAAGAGAAUGAUAAGUCAAUUUAGAAAUCAGAACGUCGACCCAAUGUACUCAAAUAUAGAGUAAGCAUUUCCUUACAAGUAUGAGGUAUGUUGUAAUUUUAAGUCUCGGAUUGAAUGUAUCCUUGCAACACUUGAUUAUGAUAUAACAGAGCUAGGUUGUAUGAUAUAACAUUUGUUAUGAUACAAAUACAAUACUUAUUGUUGGAUUUUUAAAAUUUUUUUUUUGUAGAAUUUCUCUGGUCUGUCCAAUUUGGAGUUGCUCAUCAAAGAGAGCCUGCAAAAAGCCAGUGGCAGCGAUCUCCGAGUUCAUUUUAAGGUACCCUGGAUCUUCAUGAUAAUGAAUGGAAAUUCAGACAUAUAUUUCGAGGAGGCUUGCAACAACACUAGAGUAAUUGGUAUGUGAAGUAGAUCAAGGAAGAUCCUGCAAAGUUUAUCUUGAAGUAGAGGAAAAUAACUAACUUGUAAAGCUUAAUCUUGUAAAUUUUGGUAGAAGCUCCAUUCCUUUUGUAACAUUCAUGAGGAAAAUUAAAGUGUAACAUUUCUUUUUA
Rosa chinensis is the source of this 572-nucleotide long non-coding RNA. RefSeq lists it as uncharacterized. Lineage: Eukaryota; Viridiplantae; Streptophyta; Magnoliopsida; Rosales; Rosaceae. The transcript has 3 exons. The record is from RefSeq and is a predicted model, not a curated record.